RNAcentral lists this ribosomal RNA (301 nucleotides) under uncultured bacterium. RNAcentral's name for it is "partial 16S ribosomal RNA". It matches the Rfam family "Bacterial small subunit ribosomal RNA", at positions 509 to 807 of the family's 1533-position model. The record is from RNAcentral.
CAGCCGCCACGGUAAUACGAAGGUGGCUAGCGUUGUUCGGAAUUACUGGGCGUAAAUCGCACGUAGGCGGACAUUUAAGUCAGGGGUGAAAUCCCGGGGCUCAACCCCGGAACUGCCUUUGAUACUGGGUGUCUAGAGUAUGGAAGAGGUGAGUGGAAUUCCGAGUGUAGAGGUGAAAUUCGUAGAUAUUCGGAGGAACACCAGUGGCGAAGGCGGCUCACUGGUCCAUUACUGACGCUGAGGUGCGAAAGCGUGGGGAGCAAACAGGAUUAGAUACCCGUGUAGUCCCUGUCUCUUAUAC